UGCUGGCAGCGGCCGCCCACGCCUCCCAGGGGUUGCAGGCCUGGGCGCCGGGGUUGGACCAGUCUUCCGGGCAUUGCACGCCCUGGUUUGGUCUGUACCCAUGGUUUGUGGCAGGGCAAGACGUUAAGUUGGGUAACACCGAGGUGAGCCGCGGUCCUCGGCACCAGAUGAGGAACCACUGUCUCAAUAAGCUGAGUGCCAUGAGAGGACAGUGACAACCUUGGAGGCCUCAUGGUGAAGGUGGCAGAACCUUUGUUAGCCUGGGUGCUCAGGGUGGACAGCUGCUCUUGCCAACUGGGAACAUCUGCCUCGAGCGCUUUUGUGUCUUUAUUUUGCACACUUUGGGGGUCUUCUAUGAAUCACUGUGCACAGAGAAUGUCCCUUUGUAAGAAGAUGGAAUGGUUUUUGUGACUGGUUACUGUCCCACUGUCCUUCCACCAGUGAUCUGGUCCCCUGUGAUCUGGGAGCUCAUCCUUGUAGCCAUCUCUAAGUGACAUAGUGGCCUCAGUGUGUGAAUACUGAUAUGUAGACACUGGGAGUGCCUGAAAGAAUUUGCUGUACGUUCCUUGUUAGUUUCAUAUAAACAAAACUAUGGGUCUGUUUAUUUUUUGGAUGCUCAGA
Long non-coding RNA from Rhinopithecus roxellana (golden snub-nosed monkey), 621 nucleotides. RefSeq lists it as uncharacterized. The transcript has 3 exons. Lineage: Eukaryota; Metazoa; Chordata; Mammalia; Primates; Cercopithecidae. The record is from RefSeq and is a predicted model, not a curated record.